GGUUGGCCCGCGUUAGGGAUUGCAGCGGCAUCCUUUUGUUUUUCUAUUGAUAUAUACGAACUAUUCAUUAUAGCUUUUAAUAGUGUUGUGGAUUCCUGCCUGCGCAGGAAUGACAAAACAAAAGAUAUAGCGGAAAGCCCGACCCGAG
Molecule: small RNA, 148 nt
Filed under: Jejuia pallidilutea
Lineage: Bacteria; Pseudomonadati; Bacteroidota; Flavobacteriia; Flavobacteriales; Flavobacteriaceae
Description: Flavo-1 RNA
Rfam family: Flavo-1 RNA
Source: RNAcentral